ACGAACGCUGGCGGCGUGCUUAACACAUGCACGUCGAACGGAAAGGCCCUGCUUUUGUGGGGUGCUCGAGUGGCGAACGGGUGAGUAACACGUGAGUAACCUGCCCUUGACUUUGGGAUAACUUCAGGAAACUGGGGCUAAUACCGGAUAGGAGCUCCUGCUGCAUGGUGGGGGUUGGAAAGUUUCGGCGGUUGGGGAUGGACUCGCGGCUUAUCAGCUUGUUGGUGGGGUAGUGGCUUACCAAGGCUUUGACGGGUAGCCGGCCUGAGAGGGUGACCGGCCACAAUGGGACUGAGAUACGGCCCAGACUCCUACGGGUGGCAGCAGUGGGGAAUAUUGCACAAUGGGCGGAAGCCUGAUGCAGCAACGCCGCGUGCGGGAUGACGGCCUUCGGGUUGUAAACCGCUUUCGCCUGUGACGAAGCGUGAGUGACGGUAAUGGGUAAAGAAGCACCGGCUAACUACGUG
This 467-nucleotide ribosomal RNA is filed under the name uncultured bacterium. RNAcentral describes it as "partial 16S ribosomal RNA". It matches the Rfam family "Bacterial small subunit ribosomal RNA", at positions 29 to 507 of the family's 1533-position model. The record is from RNAcentral.